This 700-nucleotide ribosomal RNA is filed under the name uncultured bacterium. Its description in RNAcentral is "bacterial SSU rRNA". It matches the Rfam family "Bacterial small subunit ribosomal RNA", at positions 193 to 895 of the family's 1533-position model. The record is from RNAcentral.
UGUUUUGUUGAAAGCUUUAGUGGUUUUGGAUGGACUCGCGGCCUAUCAGCUUGUUGGUGAGGUAAUGGCUUACCAAGGCGACGACGGGUAGCCGGCCUGAGAGGGUGACCGGCCACACUGGGACUGAGACACGGCCCAGACUCCUACGGGAGGCAGCAGUGGGGAAUAUUGCACAAUGGGCGAAAGCCUGACGCAGCGACGCCGCGUGAGGGAUGACGGCCUUCGGGUUGUAAACCUCUUUCAGUAGGGAACAAGGCCACACGUUGUGUGGUUGAGGGUACUUGCAGAAGAAGCGCCGGCUAACUACGUGCCAGCAGCCGCGGUAAUACGUAGGGCGCAAGCGUUAUCCGGAAUUAUUGGGCGUAAAGAGCUCGUAGGCGGUUUGUCGCGUCUGCCGUGAAAGUCCGGGGCUCAACUCCGGAUCUGCGGUGGGUACGGGCAGACUAGAGUGAUGUAGGGGAGACUGGAAUUCCUGGUGUAGCGGUGAAAUGCGCAGAUAUCAGGAGGAACACCGAUGGCGAAGGCAGGUCUCUGGGCAUUAACUGACGCUGAGGAGCGAAAGCAUGGGGAGCGAACAGGAUUAGAUACCCUGGUAGUCCAUGCCGUAAACGUUGGGCACUAGGUGUGGGGGACAUUCCACGUUUUCCGCGCCGUAGCUAACGCAUUAAGUGCCCCGCCUGGGGAGUACGGCCGCAAGGCU